RNAcentral lists this ribosomal RNA (915 nucleotides) under uncultured bacterium. Its description in RNAcentral is "bacterial SSU rRNA". It matches the Rfam family "Bacterial small subunit ribosomal RNA", at positions 601 to 1501 of the family's 1533-position model. The record is from RNAcentral.
CUAAUGCUGGCAGCGCUGCAGCAGCUGAUCUAGCUUCGACUGGACUUGACCUCUGACUGCAAGCUAGAGAGACGUCAGAGCGAGAUGAAUACUCGUGUAGCAGUGAAAUGCGUAGAUAUGCUGAAGAGACCCACUGGCGAGCAUCCCCUUCGGCCUGUACUGACGCUCAUGCACGAAGCGUGGGGAGCAAACAGAUAGAUACCCUGUAGUCACGCCCCCUCAAACGAUGUCAACUGGUGUUGGGAGGGGUUCUUUUUCAGUAACGUAGCUAACGCGUGAAGUUGACCGCCUGGGGAGUACGGCCGCAAGGUUGAAACUCAAAAGGAAUUGACGGGGACCCGCACAAGCGGUGGAUGAUGUGGUUUAAUUUGAUGCAACGCGAAAAAACCUUACCUUACCCUUGACAUGCCAGGAAUCCUGCAGAGAUGUGGGAGUGCUCGAAAGAGAACCUGGACACAGGUGCUGCAUGGCCGUCGUCAGCUCGUGUCGUGAGAUGUUGGGUUAAGUCCCGCAACGAGCGCAACCCUUGUCAUUAGUUGCUACGAAAGGGCACUCUAAUGAGACUGCCGGUGACAAACCGGAGGAAGGUGGGGAUGACGUCAGGUCAUCAUGGCCCUUAUGGGUAGGGGUACACACGUCAUACAAUGGCCGGGACAGAGGGCUGCCAACCCGCGAGGGGGAGGUAAUCCCAGAAACCCGGUCGUAGUCCGGAUCGCAGUCUGCAACUCGACUGCGUGAAGUCGGAAUCGCUAGUAAUCGCGGAUCAGCUUGCCGCGGUGAAUACGUUCCCGGGUCUUGUACACACCGCCCGUCACACCAUGGGAGCGGGUUCUGCCAGAAGUAGUUAGCCUAACCGCAAGGAGGGCGAUUACCACGGCAGGGUUCGUGACUGGGGUGAAGUGUAACAAGGUAACC